UACAAAAUGCAUAAAGUCCCCGGUGGCCGCUACCUACGGCGCCAAACCCUUGCCUCGGUCCUCCGCCGCCCCGCUCGUGCUAGGACCUGUAGGGUUAGUGGUGUGAGAACUACAACGAAGUUCCCAGUGGGCUCGGCAUCCGACCUCGCCGACUUACCCACUAGGUCUAUCCAGGCAUAAGUAUUUCAAAGGAAGAAAAGUAACCAUUACUAAUGCAACUAAUACUAUGCCUGCAAGAAAGAGUCAGUAGAUAUACAAUUUCAAUGCGAAAAUGGAAAUGCAUGCAUGCUCCAAUCAUAAUCAAACUUUGGCUCUUACCCAAUCUUACCGGUUAACUCUGUUAACCCCAAUAACUCACAACCCAAAAUCCCUUAAUAACGGGGGACUCGAACCUCCCUAGGGACCGUCAACUGGUGGGACUUUACCACGCCCAGUGGUGACCAACUCCGGAGCGCACCGCUCGAGGGGGAGCGACCUCCCUCAAGCCAAGACGAAAGGUGAGUGUCGAUCUAAUCCUCAACUUGAGGAUCCAUAGCCACUAGUCACAAUGCCAAUAUCACGAUAGGUCUCUACCUAUUUAUUUUUGCCACUUUCAAGGCCUUAUCUUCGACCAUGUCACUAUGGGUCAAACUAUUUUCAACGGUCAUCUCUCAAUGCAAUUCUUGUUUCUAUGUCAAUGACACCCUUGUUUUCUAAUGUCCAAGUCCAUACUUAUGUUCACACAUCUCGAGGGCCCAAUCACACAUGUCCGUUUUGGUUCUAUCAUUCUUCUACGUUCAACUACUUUAGAAGCAUAAAAAUGAAAUCAAACCAAGUUCCACAUGUAGCUACCCUACUAUGCAUGAAUGGGUAUAUAUAUAUAUAUAUGCUCAAAAAUAGAGAAAUAGACAUAGAGGGGAAUCCAACGAUUCCGGCGUGCACCCCCCACCUCUAUGAGUCGUGUGGGUGUAGAAUAUUAAGGCCCCCGCACUUUACGAAAGCCGAUUCCGCGCCCUAUAAUCAAAUAGUGCCAUAUUAGGCCUUUUUGUACAUGAACUAUACUCUAACAUUUUCGAAAUAUUAAACGAAGUUGUCCAACGUGUUUUGGGCACCCCCAAUUGGGUUUCUACAGGGUCAAUUUGUCCCCGAAAAAUCCUAGGGCAAAAACCCCAAAUUCAAGCCCUAAUGUUGCCAUUUAGGGUUUCCCCAUGAAUCGAUCCCAACCCUAAGCAAAGAAUAGCUUAGGAUCAUCUAAGAAGCAUCCUAGUAAGGUUUCUAGACCUUUGGUACCAACCCUAGGGCUCCAAACAUCAUCUCCAAGGAUUCACCAUGAGAGCACCUUGAGCUCUCAUGGGUUCCAUGGUGUUCAUGGCUCAAAAGAGCUUCUAAAACCUCUAAGGAGCACAAAGCUCCAAAUCUCUUAACCAAAAUCCAAACCCUAGAGGAAAACCUUACAAAACUUACCUCUAGUCCAAGCCCCACCAAGAUUCUCCUUGUUGGAGAGCUCCUAGAACCUCCAAAGCCUCCAAAUCCUCCUCCUCUUCUCUUCUUCUUCUUCUUCUCCAAGUCCUAGAGCAUGGGUUCUAGAGAGAGAAAGAGAGGAAAAUGGGUGAGAGGGUGGAAAUGGCUGUGGAAGAGAGGGGGUGAGUCAUAUAUAGUGUUGUAACAAUUGCACUUAAGCCCCUCCACUUGUUUCCACUUGAUCUGCCCAGACUGGGCAUUUUUCGCCUUCGGGGACCGGUCUCCCCGACCAGGGACCGGUUCCCGAACGGGGGUUUUCCAGGACUUAGCCAAAUUUUCGAGUUUUUCGGCUGUUGCGCAGCGAGGGACCGGUCUGCCCGUCAGGGACCGGUCUCCCGAGGACCGGUCUCACCACCAGGGACCGGAUGCCUCAGGAUUUCCUGGCAGGCUACGCGCACGGGGACCGGUCUCUCCUUCAGGGACCGGUCCCCGAGAGCUAAAAACCUGGGACUUAGCCAGAUUUCCAGAUUUGCUCUCCGGGUCCCUUUUUGCUCCGUUUAUGAACUCCAAUGCACUUAGGGUUCACUUUAACUCAUUCGAUUCCGCGUUCCGCUCGUUUUGACGGAACUCGGCACGACUUACGAGGGAUGUGGAGUGUUACAUUUCUCUAGGUUGGAUUGGAAGGGUUCUUGCUCUCUUUGGAAGCUUGAGAAGAGAUUUCUACACAAGAGGUGAGUUAAGCCCUCUACGCCUAGAUGGUUAAAGAUUGAGCUUUUCGAUGCUCGUUUCGUUUGUAUAACUCUUGUUCCUACAUCUUUAGGGUGCUAGGAGACUAGUGGACACCUCCGUUCGGCGAAACGAAGAGUUCCGUUUUUCUGUGGGUUUGACUUCAUGAAAACGGGGCAAAAUGGCCCCUAUGCUUCCUAUACUUAUCGUAAAGUCUUUUUGAAUGCAAAUCCAUACUAGAUAGAAUUUAUGUGAAUUUUAGAAGACUUAAAAUGCAUGUGCUAUGUGUAAGAUAAAUUUCACUCUAUAUAAUAGAGCAUACUGGGUAAUUUUCAUGCAUGUGAGAAGUGUUCGAGAUAGCAAUUGGAAUCAUGUCGCUUAUGUUAACUCAUAAUUGUGUAAUUGUAAACACUACACUAUGAUUGGACAUAGUGAAUAAAGUGUCAUAAAGGGGCACUUCACUUAGUAACUAUGAAACUCGUAUGAUGAGACAUAAUGAUAGGCCAUUGAUAUCUAUUACUUCCAUGUUUUAGACAUGAUGACUUAGAGAUAGGCCAUUGAGAUAUGUGACAUAUUCCAUAUUGUUAGACAUGAGGACUUGGUACUGGAGACGGAUCUUACGCUACUUGCCAUUGUGCUCAUUCGCACAUGCUUGUGAGGGUCGCUCCCUACAAGCCGGCAUUUCGGAGAUGGCCAUCGCGAUACAUAUUCACCGUGCGGGAUUGGGCGCCGAAGUGGAUUGCCGUGGGAAAGGCUCAUUCCUAGAGUGGGGAUGUUGACUACCACGGGGCCAUUAGGCUCGACAUCGGCCAGACAGCCUACCGGUGGGUCUUCAGGCCAGACAGCCUUCGGACGGGUCUCACGAGAUUUAACUUUAAGUAGUUAACAUGCCAUGUGGACAUUGAUUAGAAUAGUAAACAGUAACAUCUUUACUAUUUAUCUUGUGGACAUCAUACUAAUGAUACUUUGAUACAUUCAUGCUAGUGUAGCCUUUUAUUACUUGAGCAAAAUCAUGCUAAGUAGAGAUAUCUUGUGGUAGCAAGUAUUCUUAUGUAUUUACUCGUUGUACUUAUCGCUCUUACUCAUACUUGUUUACUGACCCCUUUUUGUAGCUUUUGGGCCUAGUGGCGUAUUUCACUGAAGUCAGUAAUUGCCCACUGGGAACUAUUGUUUAAUAGUUCUCACGCCCUCUGUUUUAUGGUUUUAUUUCAGAGCCUUCGGCACCGGCGGAGGCACGGGAUCGCAGCAAGGGUGUCGCCUAGCUUGAUAGAUAGCGGAGCUCGCUUUUGCUCCUAGGUGAUUACUCUCUUUUUGUGUUUUUGUGAGAGAGAGGUUUUGUACCAUGUAUAGAGACCAUCUAUGUACCUUGUUUAGCUCUUGAAUUUGGGACUCCUAUUGUAUUACUUUAUGUUUUUACAUAGUGGAUUUAGCCUUAUGUUCCUUUCCCUUAUUGCAGCUUACAGAUAUACUUUGCUCUGAUACUUCUAGACAUUCUCCUUUUGUUGCUUUAUUUAUCGCUUCGUUAUUUCUUUUAUCGUUUUGUUCUAGACGCCUUGUAUGUUUUAGACAUACGGCGGGUCUCGACACGCGCCGGGCGGGCUUCCGCUGGGUCCCAGGGCAUGACAGAUUAGUUUGGUAUCAGAGCCUAGGGUUGAGUCUUAGUAGACCUAGCAAACCUUAGGCCGGUUGGACUAUAGGAAAUAGGCUCGUGAGAGACGAGGUCUAUUUGACUUGUGAGCGAAAAUAUCAUGAUUGGGUACCUUGAUAACUCUAAAAAGUUAGAGUUGAAUCGAAGUGUAUGGCUUCUAACUUCGCGCAGGGUUACGUUGGCGGCCGACAACGUAACAUCGGGAGUUAGUAGUGAGGCACACUUUCUUACUUUCGCAUGAUUUGGGGUAUUAUCUGCUUGAGCGGGGAUACGAUAGCGUGGGUUACUGUCACGCCCCGGGACCGGCGGAGGCCCUCCCGGUGGCGUGCCCAGACCCGCCAUAUGUCUACACAUAUAAGGCGUCUACAAUAAAAGCGGAAGAAAAGCAAGAAAUAAAACAAAUGAAAGAAGGGAAAUAACCAGCAACUAAUGAUAUCAGAGCAAAUAUAGUUCUAACAUCUACACCAAAGUAAAGAGAUAAGGAUAGACAAUAAAGGAAAUCAUAAGUAGUACAAUAUCUGUCUCUAGUACAAAAAUGGUGGUCUCUAUACAUAGAUACAAAAACUCUCACUCUCUCAACUACAAACGAAAGAGUAAACCACCUAGGCAAAGUACCGCUCCUCGCUAGCUAGCUAAGCGAUCCCCUUGCCGCGAUCCCGUGCCUCCGCCGGUGCCGAAGGCUCUGAAAAGUAAACCAUAAAACAGGGGCGUGAGAACUAUCAAAAAUAGUUCCCAGUGGGCAAUUACUGACUUCAGUGAAUGCACCACAAGGCCCAAAGCUACAGAAGAUGUCAGUGACUAACAAUGUAAUAAUUAGACGGUAAGUAAAAUGUAACUUACUACAACAUGAUAUCUCUACUUAGCCUAAAUAGCAUAAGUAUGAAACAACCAUACAUGAAGUAACAGUCUCCAACUAUCAUAAUGUUCACAAUGCGAAAUAGUAAAGUUCCGUUGUUUACUAUUCUAGUCAAUGUCCAAAUAAUAUUCUAAGUCAUAUCUAUCAACAUGUCGUAACGGAUAUAUAAAGUCCAAUCUGAAGAGACCACCCGAAGGCUGUCUAUGGCCUGAGACCCACCCGUAGGCUGUGCGGUGCGAGCCUAAUGGCCCCGUGGUAGUCAUAUCCCACCCUAGGAAUGCUGGCCUACGGCAAUCCACUUCGGCGCCCAAUGCCGCACGGCGAAUGAUAUCGCGAUGGCCAUCUCCGGAGUGCCGGCUUUAGGGAGCGACCCUCACAAGUCAUGUGCGGAAUGAGCACAAUGGCAAGUAAGUCAACGAUCUGUCGCAAGUACAAGUCCUCAUUUCUAAUAACAUGGAAGUGUCAGGUAUCUCAAUGGCUAUAUCCUAUGUCAUCAUGUCUCUAAUAGAAUAUAGCAAGAUAUGUAGUGGCCUAUCAAUAUGUUCUCUAUAUUGCAGUUUCAUAGUUUUACUAGUUUCAAGUGCCUUUAUACACUCUUGCUCUCUAUGUCAAAAAACAUGGCAACUAUGUCCAAGGUAACAUAUUCCAAGUCAUCAUCAUCUAUAAGAGAUGUAUUUUCAUUUGCAAACAGGCACAUUUCCCGUAUGCAUGCAUUCACUCAUAUACUCUACAUAUAUGUGAAAUUUUCAUAAUACACAAGGCAUGCAUUUAAGUGGCUCUAAGAUUCAUAUAAAUUCCAUUUAGCAUAGAAAUGAAUCUAAAAUAUUUUUACAAACAAGUAGAAAGAGCAUAGGGCCAUUUUGCCCCAUUUCCACGAAGCCAAACCACCGAUGACAAUGAAACUCCUCGUGCGCUCAACGAGGGUGUCCUCUAGUCUCCUAGUACCCUAAAGGUAUAGAAACAUGUGUCAUACAGGCCAAACAAACAAAACCUAGCGCAAACAUUAAGCUAAUCAUCAUAGGGUGAGGAAAACUACAUCUAGUGCAAAAUCUCCUCUAAAAGCUCCAAAAUGAAGCUAGGUCAUCCAAUCCAACCCAAAAGGAAGCCUCUAAUCCAUCAAUCUAGCUCAAAAGCCCUAGAUUCAAAAUGCCCAAAAUAACCCUAAUAUACAAUCUAGGUUUCAUCUCAAAGAAAUCCAAUAAAACUCAAAUCUAGAGGAAGAUAGUGUAAUGCUUAUCUCUAGAAGCUUCAAAUCAAGCCUAAAUCCUUUAAAUCCCAAGAUCUAUCCUCCACUUAGCUCCAAAUCAAGCCUCUAGCUCCCUAAUGGUGGAGAAGCAUAAAAGGGAGAGAAAAGGGAUUAUCAUUACAAAAUCUAGGCUAGAGGAGAUUAAAACCAAAGAGAAGCAAAGAGAAAGCUCUCCUUACUUUUCUCCCUCUGCAGUGGCAAGCUCAAAGAAGAGCCCUAGGGCGUGGUGCUGUUAUAGUAUUGCUACAAUAGCAAAAAACCCUGCAGAACAACUGCACGAAAUCUGCUUCCUUGUACCGGUUACACGGGCCUCUGUACCGGUCACAGGCCGAUCGAAUAUUGCAAAACCGAGCAUUGGAUCGGCGCGUUGCGGCUCUGUACGCGCUACAAGGCGAUAGGAUGUACCAGGUUACAUUACGCAACCUAUGUACGUUACAAGCCUGUCUUGUUCCGGUACAGAAGCCGCUGCUGCAGGCUAUCCGAGGCUGACCAAAAAUUCCAAUUUGGGAUCUUGGUGCCAAGAUCAAAAACAUCCUCGGGAUGCGUGCCAGGGGUCGGGACACUAUCAACGACCCUCCAAAAACUGUGGAAAGGUUCCACACACAGAUCAAACACUCGAAUCUUGCAAUUUGCUAAGAUCCAGUGUAUUACAGUUACUAACUUACGCAUUUAUGAUGUUGUAGUGACGAUGCCGAUUACACGCUCCUAAUCUGCCGGGGCGGAUAAUGCGGCUAACUUGGAGGAGGUCGAGACCUCCGCUACCUCCGGAUCCGGCGAGGUCCGAGAGUUGAGGAGCUAACUUGCGGCCCUCACCGACUUAGUCACUCAGCAGGCGGAGGCGGCCCGACAGCAGACGGAGGCGGCGCGCCGACAGGAGGCGCGGAUGAAGCGCCUGGAGGAUCUUCUGCUACAGCAGGCGGCAGCUUUUAGGGAGACUUAGGCCCCUACACCGCUAGCACCAGUCGUGGACGUCGCACCGAGAGCGCCGUCUCCCGCCUCCAGUUCUUCGUGAGAAGCGCCCCCUGCCGCGCCUCAGGAGGAGGCUAUCGCGGCACCACCUGUUCAGAGGGCCCCGAUUGGAGCAGUGUACCCUACUAUGGUCGAGGGGGCAGAGGGGGACCGACUUAUGGAGCGCCUGUCACGCCCACGACCGCCUAUUUGGUUGGUUUGGGGCACGCCAACAGAUCGCUGAACGGACAGGGUUUCCUCUGUCUGUGGACAGAGUCUCCCCUGUACGUUCAAGGGUUAGCAAUCAAUACAAUGUACGAAGUUCCAACCAGGAACACAUUUCAAUCAAGAUUGCAUAAUGGAAGGUAUCAAACAACAUAACACAUCCUAUGUUAUUACAUGCAUUCACAUUCAUACAUUUUACAUCCCAAAUACUUAUUACAUUUAAUUUCCAAAUACAAUACGAUUUAACAUGAUUAUUACAAAUCUUAUUCCUUUCAUUUCCUUACAUCCCUAAGUAAAGCCGACUCAGGGUACCGCUAUCUCUAGUCUCGGUGGUAGGGCGCUAACUAUGAUGCUACGCCCUCGCCUCGCGCCGCCGCGCCGCUCACGUGUGAACCUGUAACACCCCAAAACCACGUGGGGUGAGAACCAACUCCAUGGUUCCCAGUGGGUACGGCCACCCAAGGGAAAAGCUCGACCAAUAGGUCCAAGGGAGGCAACUGCAAGUUAGUUCAAUAAACAGAUAGAUAUAUAUCUUGAUUAUGCAACGAAUAAAACCAUGCAUUGCCUCACGAAUGCAAUAAUGCAAUGCUAUAUGCAAAUCAUGCAAUAAUGCAACUAUGCAACCAACUAGUAGUUCAUUUGACACUACUUUCAAUUCUGCUAACCAUAGCUCAUCCAUUCGAUAUCUAAGGUUUCCUCUAUCUUAGAUUCUUGUCAAUCACCGUUUUAAUCAUAAAGUUUCAUCUACCUUUACAAGGCUAACCACCCGACUCGGUCUUGAGUCAAUCGUCUGCGGAGUACCGCACUAGAACCAGGCUCGAGGCGAUGGACGUCUCACAUACACCUCAGCCCUAGAUCCUCUCGACUAGGAUACCAAAUCCAUAACUCAUAAUGCAUACUUGUUGUACACUCAUUUGGCUAUGACCCAAUCUUACCGGUUAACCAUGUUAACCCCAAUAACUCACUACCAAAAUCCCUUAAUAACGGGGGACUCGAACCUCCCUGGGGACCGUCAUCUGGGGGGACUUUACCACGCCCAGUGGUGACCAACUCCGGAGCGCACCGCCCGAGGGGGAGCUACCUCCCUCAAGCCAAGACGUAACGUGAGUAUCGAUCCAAUCCUCAACUUGAGGAUUCAUAGCCACUCGUCACAAUGCCAAUGUCAUGAUAGGUCUCUACCUAUUUAAUCAUGCCACUCUCUAUGUCAACUUGGACCAAUGUCAAUAUGGUUAAACUAUGUUUAACAAUCACUUUCUUGAUGCCAAUCAUGUCUCUAUUGUCAUUGUCACCCUUGUUUACUAAUGU
Molecule: long non-coding RNA, 8394 nt
Filed under: Ananas comosus (pineapple)
Lineage: Eukaryota; Viridiplantae; Streptophyta; Magnoliopsida; Poales; Bromeliaceae
Description: long non-coding RNA (ACOM_LNC037290)
Source: RNAcentral